CCUCCCUACCCGAUCCACUUUCCUUUCUCCCUCUCUCUCUCGCAUGCUCUCUGCUAGCCCGAAUGGCUGCCCUCCGAUGGUCACCGCCGUGUAGGCACCGGAUCAAGAGUACCAGACACCGCCGAAACUCCAGCCUCACGAGCCCUUCGUUGCCGUUCUCCGCCGCGAGCAGAAGCCUCCAGGCUCGUACGUCACCGCCGUGGCUUCAAGGCCAAUUUCUGGCCUCCUCUGACAUCGUCUCAGGCGAAGGGUACCAUGGGUGAACUCAGGGUAUCAAGACGAACAAAGCCCAUCCAAGGAUCGGGCUUUUAAGUGACCGAAGGAGACGGAAUCAACUCUCCAUUUGCUGCUUGUAGUCUUCUUCUCGAGACCAAGUUCUAAAUGUCAUGUUCAUCCACAUGAGAGGGGUAUAGUUGAUUUCCACCCUAUAUAUUUCCAUUCAAAUGAGGCUAGUGGAUCUAUGAAACCAAUUACUUAUGGUUCCAUAUAAUUAACGACAGUUGACCAAUCAAGAUUUAGAAGGACUCGAGUUACUGAGGGUGGGUUUUGAUGAAUACAUGAAUUUGGUUCUUGAUGAUGCUGAAGAAGUCAAUGUCAAGAAUUUGGGGCUCGGUAGGGACGGUGGCUGGGCUGGGCUCGGGGCUGGCUGGUGGGGUUCUCAACUUCACGGCGGCGACACUAUAGCUCACGGCGGCAGCAAGUAUUUAUUUUAUUUCUUGAUUUUUUUAUGUUAAAAUAUGUUUCAUUUGAUUGUGUUGGAUAUGUUCAGAUCUGAUUUUGAGCCUAGACUAAUAAUGAAUAUCAUCUGUAGUGUAUUUUGCUUAUGCUUUAAUGGCUUUAUACUUGUGUUUCAGUAUUGGUUAUUGGUUUAUUUUGUGACUUGAUUUUUUUGUAUUUUGUGACUGGAUUUUGGUGUGUUUAUGGUUUAUUUUGAUGCUUCUUUAAUGGAUUAAUAUGGUAGAUUUAUGGUC
Molecule: long non-coding RNA, 971 nt
Organism: Humulus lupulus (European hop)
Lineage: Eukaryota; Viridiplantae; Streptophyta; Magnoliopsida; Rosales; Cannabaceae
Exons: 4
Source: RefSeq, a predicted model, not a curated record